This 500-nucleotide ribosomal RNA is filed under the name uncultured bacterium. Its description in RNAcentral is "partial 16S ribosomal RNA". It matches the Rfam family "Bacterial small subunit ribosomal RNA", at positions 30 to 523 of the family's 1533-position model. The record is from RNAcentral.
AUUGAACGCUGGCGGCAUGCCUUACACAUGCAAGUCGAACGGCAGCACGGGAGCAAUCCUGGUGGCGAGUGGCGAACGGGUGAGUAAAGUAUCGGAACGUGCCCAGUCGUGGGGGAUAACGUAGCGAAAGUUACGCUAAUACCGCAUACGAUCUAUGGAUGAAAGCGGGGGAUCGCAAGACCUCGCGCGAUUGGAGCGGCCGAUAUCAGAUUAGGUAGUUGUUGGGGUAAAGGCUCACCAAGCCGACGAUCUGUAGCUGGUCUGAGAGGACGACCAGCCACACUGGGACUGAGACACGGCCCAGACUCCUACGGGAGGCAGCAGUGGGGAAUUUUGGACAAUGGGCGAAAGCCUGAUCCAGCCAUGCCGCGUGCAGGAUGAAGGCCUUCGGGUUGUAAACUGCUUUUGUACGGAACGAAAAGGUUUGGCCUAAUAAGCUGAGCUGAUGACGGUACCGGAAGAAUAAGGACCGGCUAACUACGUGCCAGCCGCCGCAGUAA